GACGAACGCUGGCGGCGUGCUUAACACAUGCAAGUCGAGCGGUAAGGCCCUUUCGGGGGUACACGAGCGGCGAACGGGUGAGUAACACGUGGGUGACCUGCCCUUAGCUCUGGGAUAAGCCUGGGAAACUGGGUCUAAUACCGGAUAUGACUCCAUAACGCAUGUUGUGGGGUGGAAAGCCUUGUGCGGCUAGGGAUGGGGCCCGCGGCCUAUCAGCUUGUUGGUGGGGUGAUGGCCACCAAGGCGACGACGGGUAGCCGGCCUGAGAGGGCGACCGGCC
Molecule: ribosomal RNA, 280 nt
Filed under: uncultured bacterium
Lineage: Bacteria
Description: partial 16S ribosomal RNA
Rfam family: Bacterial small subunit ribosomal RNA
Source: RNAcentral